Molecule: ribosomal RNA, 419 nt
Filed under: uncultured bacterium
Lineage: Bacteria
Description: bacterial SSU rRNA
Rfam family: Bacterial small subunit ribosomal RNA
Source: RNAcentral
UAGGGAAUAUUGCGCAAUGGGCGAAAGCCUGACGCAGCCAUGCCGCGUGGAUGAUGAAGGCCUUCGGGUCGUAAAGUCCUUUUCUGAGGGAAGAACUGCCGGGGGAGGAAAUGCCCUUGGCUUGACGGUACCUCAGGAAUAAGCAACGGCUAACUCCGUGCCAGCAGCCGCGGUAAUACGGAGGUUGCAAGCGUUGUUCGGAAUGACUGGGCGUAAAGGGAGCGCAGGCGGCCAAGUCAGUCUGAAGUGAAAGCCCGGGGCUUAACCCCGGAAUAGCUUUGGAUACUGCCUGGCUUGAGGGUGGGAUAGGAAAGCGGAAUUCCCGGUGUAGCGGUGAAAUGCGUAGAUAUCUGGAGGAACACCGGUGGCGAAAGCGGCUUUCUGGCGCAUAACUGACGCUGAGGCUCGAAAGCGUGGGG